CUCUGGAAAGAAACACAUUUAGUUGGGGACAGUCUAUAGUUUCAGAGGCUUAGCCCAUUAUUGUCGUGGCCGGAAGUAUAGUGGCAGGCAGGACGACACGAUGCUGGAAAGGGAAUUUUUAGUUCUACAUCUCUAUUUCUAGGCCUCAGUAAGAGAGACACACUGAGUCUGGCUUGAGCAAACCCCAAAUCCCACCGCCAGUGACACCUCCAACAAGACCACACUUCCUGGCAAGUGGUGCCACUCCCUAACGACCAAGCAUUCCAAUCUGUGAGUUUAUGGGGGCCAUUGCUAUUCAAUCCAUCACACUUGGUCUUAAGAGACUUUCUCUACAAAAUGUAAAGUUUUUAUCUUGGAGGAAACUGCUACAUACUGAGAAGUUACUGUGAUUGUGGUGUCUCCUCGCAGCAAUAAAAACCUUAACUAAGACGCCAGGUUUACCUUGAAUAUGUGAUUUUCCCACUUCAACCUCCUGAAUAUGGGGAUUCAGGACAUGUACCACCAUGACUGACUUUCAGUGGCUCUUGAAUCUGUGCCUUCUUUCCCUACAACCGUCACCUGUGAGCUAAGGUGUUGGCCUGCAGUCAGGUGAAGAAGUCAGCUUUCUGCGAUCCAGUGUCGUCCCUACAAGCCCUUGGUUUCUGACGCAGUUGAGAAGAUGAACUCUGUGGCCUGAUAAUCAAGUCAGGCUGGCUUUAGCCCCUGUCCUAGGUAGUCUAGCUGCUGAUUUAACACAGCCCACAGUCAUCUGGAGGGAAAGUCACAAUUGAGAGGAUGUCUGAGACAGAUUGGCUAGGAACGUACCUGUAGGGGAGAGUCUUGAUUAUUAAUUGAUGUAGAAGGAUAAAGGCCACUGCAAGCAGUACCGUCUCUGGGCAAGUGACCCUGCGCUGGAUCAGAAAACACGAGCCUAUUAUGAAACCAGAGAGCAAGCCAGAGCAUAGUGCUCCUUCCUGCUUCUGUCCUGGGCUUCUGCCUUGAGUUGCUGCUCAUGUUGGACUAUAACCUGAAAGUGUAAGAUAGAAUAAAGAUAAAAUAAAGCGUCUCCUUCCCA
Molecule: long non-coding RNA, 1054 nt
Organism: Myodes glareolus (Bank vole)
Lineage: Eukaryota; Metazoa; Chordata; Mammalia; Rodentia; Cricetidae
Source: RefSeq, a predicted model, not a curated record